This 301-nucleotide ribosomal RNA is filed under the name uncultured bacterium. RNAcentral's name for it is "partial 16S ribosomal RNA". It matches the Rfam family "Bacterial small subunit ribosomal RNA", at positions 509 to 807 of the family's 1533-position model. The record is from RNAcentral.
CAGCAGCCACGGUAAUACAGAGGAUGCAAGCGUUAUCCGGAAUGAUUGGGUGUAAAGCGUCUGUAGGUGGCUUUUCAAGUCCGCCGUCAAAUCCCAAGGCUCAACCCUGGACAGGCGGUGGAAACUACCAAGCUGGAGUACAGUAGGGGCAGAGGGAAUUUCCGGUGGAGUGGUAAAAUGCGUUGAGAUCGGAAAGAACACCAACGGCGAAAGCACUCUGCUAGGCCGACAUUGACACUGAGAGAUGACAGCUAGGGGAGCAAAUGGGAUUAGAUACCCCCGUAGUCCCUGUCUCUUAUAC